Molecule: long non-coding RNA, 3618 nt
Filed under: Marmota monax (woodchuck)
Lineage: Eukaryota; Metazoa; Chordata; Mammalia; Rodentia; Sciuridae
Source: RNAcentral
UCCCGCCAGGGCUGCACUGAGGCUUCGCGCAGACGCUCUCCCGCGAUCUGCUGCAGACCCGGACGGUGUGGCUACCGCGACAGCGGCGGCGGUGGCGCCGGUGACAGCUGGGCGCAGCGCGGCCACCGAACUGUCCAACUCUUUCGGGCGUGGGGCUCAGACGCCCGGCCGCGGCCCCGGCGCUGAGCGCCUGCGCGCCCGGCCUCGCCCAGGUGAGCGCUCGCCGGGCGCGCCCUGCCCACACCAGCAGCCCGCCGGGCUCCCUCGUCUGGCCGAGGACCCCCGGGUUUAGACGCUCCAACGCCACUCUCGCGCGCCGAUGGUGGUGACGGUUGACCAAGGAGAGACUUGCAAGGCACACACACUAAAGCGAUGAGGCGGGACUGUUCGGGGCUGGUUGACACUGCAGAGUCUCCCGCAGCAGCGCUGCCUUAAAUCCCGCCUUGCCAGGCGCGCGCGCACAGCUAGGGAGAGCAGGCGCCGGCCGACCAGGGGUCCCACCCGGGGCGCAGCUUCGGGGCUCAGGUCCUUGAAGAAAUGCUUGGCGAUGACAGAGGUCCCCAAACCGGGAUGCCAAGCCGCGCAGAAGGGCGGAUGUUUCAUGUAUUAGGCAAACCAGAGUGAAACUCUCUUCUUGGAGAUGGGCAGACCAACUAUUUGUUUUUCCUCUUUGACCAGCUCUCUGCUCGCUGACCACACGGAGCAGCCUGGGCGUUUUUGGCUGAGCCGGGAAGGCCGGGAGAGCCGAGGCAUCGCAGCCUUGCUUGGACCUGAAACACUCGUGGGCGGGGAGAGGGCUCAUUUCCUCCGGAUUUCUAUUCCGUGUUUAUUUAAGUUUUCCAAACUGAAACGUGCCAUCGGUUAACCUGAUGUAGGGCAUCUUCUGAAAAUUGUGCACGUAUGGCCAAGGUGCUCCGUCCUCAAAGGGAAAGCACUUGGAAAGAAAACAUUGAAGGCGAAAGGAAAAAUAAUUUCAAGAAAGCAGUUUUCUGAGAUUACUUCUUUGGGAAGAAGUUCAAGGGUAAUAAAUGACAAGAGAGCUGUAGUAGACAGUAGGGAUUUUUCUUUAGCCAGAUGAUUUUAAAAUAUUAUUCUUUGGUUCUUGUCUCAGAUGAUUGACACCAACACCAUAAAUAAUUAAUCUAGCAGCUGUUAAUGUCUUGGCAUAAUCGUUCAGAGUAAAUAUCUUAGCGUCCAGCCAAAGCCAAUUCUGUUUUCCAGGGUGGGUUUGAGAUUUAACAAAUGUGCACUCACCCCAUUCUAGAGCUUUCUAAAGGAGCAGGUUGUGUUUAUUAUCCACUUUGGAAUGUAGGAUUAUUGCAGGCGCCAGCGCACCUGAGGUACCAGCGUGAGAAGGGGCAUUACUCUGAUAGUUUUUAUAUUUUUAGAAUCCAAACAUCUUCACAUCCAGCUAGGCAGUCUCACUCAUUACUAAGGGUAGAUCUUUAUUGGUAUGUUUGUUCUUAAAACUGUCUCCUAUUUGAAAUUGCUACAGAAGGCAAGCUCCAAAAUUCAAUCAUUUUAACUCAAAAAGAUCAUGAAGAAUGAUAAUUGCUUAAAGAGUCUUUUACAAAAUUAUGCUCUUAAAGUCUUUUCCCAUCAGUGAAGGUUAUAUUGAAAAAUAAGUCUUGCACAAGUCCCUAAGGGUCAGUAGGAUGGGGCUUUGGCAAACUGGAAGCAGCAGGAAAUUUCAGAGGCAAAAGCCUUCCAUGAGAGAAGAAAAAAAAACACCCAGCUUUUAGUGCCCUGCACUUCAGAGUUGGGAAUAGAACAGUUGUUGUGGUUGCUACUGAAUUCAGAUAAGUAUUGGUAUCUCCAGAAAUCUAAGGUACACAUAAAAGGGGAGGGCCCCUCAACACCUCCAGUCAACAGCUUGGAUUGUACUUGCAGGCAAUUGAGUAACCUCUGCAGAGUGGAACACCUGUGAGAAGUGUUCCCUGUGGCUUGCACAAUUUAGAAGUAUGUGCAUUUUUUAUGUCCUGCAAGCUGCAACUAUAUCCUUCUUUCCUCCUUGUCUAUUUUUAAUCACCUAUAGCUAAGACUUAUGGUGGAGAAUUAUUUGAGGAUUGCAUUUCCUAACAACAGCUGAAAGAAGCAUCAAAUACUUGCAGACAACUCCCAAUUUUUCACCUAUGACAUAAGUAACUAAGAACCCUGCACCUCAGGUCCUGAGCCAAGGCAGGAUAUAAGGGCUGAGACAAUUACAGUGCCUCCUUUUAAAUACACGACAUUAAACUAAAAAAAUAAAUAAAUAAAGUAUAGAAAAUAUUAAAACAUCUUCUUUUUAGAUAUUCUGAUUGCAAUUGUGUGUGUCUAUUGGAUAAUUUGCAUUGACUGUACUUUUCCAGAGUUAUUGGAUAGGGAAAACCCUCCUGUCAUCAUUUUUCUAGAAUCAUUAUAGUGAACUAAACCAACUAGCAGAACUGUAGCCCUGGGUUAGGAGCAUUGGGAGAGUGGUCAGAUAGCAUUGCAUAGGGUGCUAGCACAUCAAGAGGAUAACCCAGGGCUGGGGCUAUAGCUCAGUGGCAGAGCACUUGCCUAGCAUGUGUGAGGUACUGGAUUCGAUCCUCAGCACCACAUAAACAUAAACAAAUAAAAUAAAGGCAUUCUGUCCAUCUUCAACUACAAAAAGAAAAAAAAGAGGAUGACCCAAAGACAAGGAAGCAAAGCACAAAAGAAUUCACUUUUUUUCCCCCUACUUUUUUUGGGUUUAAGAGGUAUGUGGCACAUUUGUUCCUAAAUAUUGAUGUGAUAAGCAAAUUCCUUGUACAUCCAUAAAUUCAUUCUUUUCAAUGGAUAAAGAUCUUGGUGAUAAAAAGAACAUCAACCAAUUCAAGAAAUUUAUUAGUAGGUUGGUUUUACUAUAUAUGAAAUUGUUAUGAAUUAAUGCACUUUACGUUACUUUAUACAACUAGACUCCACAUUUUAGAUUGCUUUGCAGGUAUCAGCAAGACAGUGAUCUUGAGGCUAGGGGCCAUAUUUUGAAAAUUACUCUUGCAAUGGAAGAAAAUUAGCCUAGUAAUAGAAAAAUAAUUUGAUUUUCAACAAUCUCCACUAUGAAUUUUUGCUGAUAAUUCCCUUUCAGAUGGCUCUAGUGCCUUAUGAUGGGGGAAAUACACUUCCUGAGUUGGAAGAGCAGAACUUGAGGUCUGAUCUUGCACUAUCUAGCUGUGUGAUAUUUUUCACUCCUUCUAUGGUUCAGGUUCCUUGUCUUUAAUAUGGGAAAAUAAAUAGAUCUUUCAUGUAUGAUUAUCCUGAGGACCAAAGCAAAUAAAAAGAUAUUUUUCAAAUUAUUAAACACCUCAUAGAUAUUCAUCAUAAUUCCCUUUAACACCUAAUUGUGAAGCAGAUAAGAGGUUCAUCUCCAUAUUUGACAAUAGGUGUGUGUGUGUGUAGUAUUUCUAGUAUAUUUGAUGUUACUUUAUAAAACUAGACUCUACGGACAUUUUAAAUUGCUUUGCAGGUAUCAGUAAGACAAUGGUCUUGGGGCUAAGGGCCAUAGUUUAAAAACAACUCUUGCAAUGGAAGAAAAUUAGACUAGUAAUAGAAAAUCAGAAUUCUAAUCUCAGCUGUUGCUCUGAGCCUAGAACUUCAGUUCUGUAAGACUGAAUUAAUUAC